UGGGGAAUAUUGGACAAUGGGCGAAAGCCUGAUCCAGCCAUGCCGCGUGUGUGAAGAAGUUCUUCGGAUUGUAAAGCACUUUAAGUUGGGAGGAAGGGCAGUAAGCGAAUACCUUGCUGUUUUGACGUUACCGACAGAAUAAGCACCGGCUAACUCUGUGCCAGCAGCCGCGGUAAUACAGAGGGUGCAAGCGUUAAUCGGAAUUACUGGGCGUAAAGCGCGCGUAGGUGGUUCGUUAAGUUGAAUGUGAAAGCCCCGGGCUCAACCUGGGAACUGCAUCCAAAACUGGCGAGCUAGAGUAGGGCAGAGGGUGGUGGAAUUUCCUGUGUAGCGGUGAAAUGAGUAGAUAUAGGAAGGAACACCAGUGGCGAAGGCGACCACCUGGGCUCAUACUGACACUGAGGUGCGAAAGCGUGGGGAGCAAACAGG
Molecule: ribosomal RNA, 429 nt
Filed under: Pseudomonadota bacterium
Lineage: Bacteria; Pseudomonadati; Pseudomonadota
Description: Proteobacteria bacterium partial 16S ribosomal RNA
Rfam family: Bacterial small subunit ribosomal RNA
Source: RNAcentral